This 24-nucleotide non-coding RNA is filed under the name Cricetulus griseus (Chinese hamster). Lineage: Eukaryota; Metazoa; Chordata; Mammalia; Rodentia; Cricetidae. The record is from RNAcentral.
AUAACUGGGAUAAGAGGUGUUCAU